This 492-nucleotide ribosomal RNA is filed under the name uncultured bacterium. RNAcentral's name for it is "partial 16S ribosomal RNA". It matches the Rfam family "Bacterial small subunit ribosomal RNA", at positions 29 to 507 of the family's 1533-position model. The record is from RNAcentral.
AGUGAACGCUGGCGGUAGGCCUAACACAUGCAAGUCGAACGGCAGCACAGUAAGAGCUUGCUCUUACGGGUGGCGAGUGGCGGACGGGUGAGGAAUACAUCGGAAUCUACUUUUUCGUGGGGGACAACGUAGGGAAACUUACGCUAAUACCGCAUACGACCUACGGGUGAAAGCAGUGGAUCUUCGGACCUUGCGCGAUUGAAUGAGCCGAUGUCGGAUUAGCUAGUUGGCGGGGUAAAGGCCCACCAAGGCGACGAUCCGUAGCUGGUCUGAGAGGAUGAUCAGCCACACUGGAACUGAGACACGGUCCAGACUCCUACGGGAGGCAGCAGUGGGGAAUAUUGGACAAUGGGCGCAAGCCUGAUCCAGCCAUACCGCGUGGGUGAAGAAGGCCUUCGGGUUGUAAAGCCCUUUUGUUGGGAAAGAAAAGCAGCAGGUUAAUACCCCGCUGUUCUGACGGUACCCAAAGAAUAAGCACCGGCUAACUUCGUG